This is a non-coding RNA of Pelobates cultripes (western spadefoot toad), 321 nucleotides long. The record is from the annotation of a GenBank genome assembly. Lineage: Eukaryota; Metazoa; Chordata; Amphibia; Anura; Pelobatidae.
UGAUGUUCAUUUAACACAAUCUAUUUCAUUUCAAAACUUGAUAUAAGUAUUAUUAUAUUUAAAAAUAGUGUUAAGAUGGGGCGGAGCCAAGCAGGAAAACCGGGCAGACACACGCUUGAUGGGCUCUGCAACUGAUAACCCUAGAACAGCGAUUUCUAUCUGCAAUUCAGCUAGAAAAAUUGAGGAUUGUUGCUCCUACAUACCAUGGGUCGCAGAAAAACAAGGGCGGAUAGAUCCAAGAAGAGCAGAAAUAUUGAAUAAUUUCUUUAAGCACAUUGUGCUUAUGGGCCGACACUGAUGGCUACUCCGACUCCUCUGAAG